GACGAACCGUGCGAACGUUGUUCGGAAUCACUGGGCUUAAAGGGCGCGUAGGCGGGCCACCAAGUCCGCGGUGAAAUCCUCCGGCUUAACCGGAGAAGUGCCGCGGAUACUGGGGGCCUCGAGGGAGGUAGGGGCGUGCGGAACACUGGGUGGAGCGGUGAAAUGCGUUGAUAUCCAGUGGAACUCCGGUGGCGAAGGCGGCACGCUGGACCUCAUCUGACGCUGAGGCGCGAAAGCCAGGGGAGCGAACGGG
Molecule: ribosomal RNA, 253 nt
Filed under: uncultured bacterium
Lineage: Bacteria
Description: partial 16S ribosomal RNA
Rfam family: Bacterial small subunit ribosomal RNA
Source: RNAcentral